Molecule: non-coding RNA, 179 nt
Filed under: Salimicrobium flavidum
Lineage: Bacteria; Bacillati; Bacillota; Bacilli; Caryophanales; Bacillaceae
Description: Lysine sequence
Rfam family: Lysine riboswitch aptamer
About the family: Riboswitches are metabolite binding domains within certain messenger RNAs that serve as precision sensors for their corresponding targets. Allosteric rearrangement of mRNA structure is mediated by ligand binding, and this results in modulation of gene expression. This family includes riboswitches that sense lysine in a number of genes involved in lysine metabolism, including lysC.
Source: RNAcentral
CGAUGAGGUAGAGGAGCGGGAAACAUGAGUAUCCGGUCAGAGUGUGACAGCGAAGACGACCGGAAAAAGGGUUCCCUGCCGAAGUAGGGGUAGUCGUCGAGCUAUCCUUGCUGGUACAUGUUUGAACAAAGGAUGUACUGUCAUGCAUUUUGAUAAAUGCAUGGUGCGCUACUGAUCGA